Molecule: non-coding RNA, 165 nt
Organism: Gossypium arboreum
Lineage: Eukaryota; Viridiplantae; Streptophyta; Magnoliopsida; Malvales; Malvaceae
Source: Rfam
UUACCGGCGGUCUCUAAUUCGCUUGGUGCAGGUCGGGAACUGAUUAGCUGUUCCUUAAUAUUGGAUUGAUUUUGAUUUUGAUUUAAGCCAGAUGGCUGGGCGUGAUUGGAGGAAGCGCGAAUCGGAUCCCGCCUUGCAUCAACUGAAUCGGAGACCGCGGUGAAG